AUUGAACGCUGGCGGCAUGCCUAACACAUGCAAGUCGAACGGCAGCGCGGGCUUCGCCCUUGCGGCGAGUGGCGGACGGGUGAGUAAUGCAUCGGAACGUGCCCAGUAGUGGGGGAUAGCGCGGCGAAAGGCGGACUAAUACCGCAUACGACCUGAGGGUGAAAGCGGGGGACCGAAAGGCCUCGCGCUAUUGGAGCGGCCGAUGUCGGAUUAGCUAGUUGGUGGGGUAAAGGCUUACCAAGGCGACGAUCCGUAGCUGGUCUGAGAGGAUGACCAGCCACACUGGAACUGAGACACGGCCCAGACUCCUACGGGAGGCAGCAGUGGGGAAUUUUGGACAAUGGGCGCAAGCCUGAUCCAGCCAUGCCGCGUGCGUGAAGAAGGUCUUCGGGUUGUAAAGCGCUUUUGUUCGGGAAGAAAUCCUCUGGGCUAAUACCUCGGGGGGAUGACGGUACCGAAAGAAUAAGCACCGGCUAACUACGUG
This 484-nucleotide ribosomal RNA is filed under the name uncultured bacterium. Its description in RNAcentral is "partial 16S ribosomal RNA". It matches the Rfam family "Bacterial small subunit ribosomal RNA", at positions 29 to 507 of the family's 1533-position model. The record is from RNAcentral.